Molecule: ribosomal RNA, 1033 nt
Filed under: uncultured bacterium
Lineage: Bacteria
Description: bacterial SSU rRNA
Rfam family: Bacterial small subunit ribosomal RNA
Source: RNAcentral
GGGACUGAGACNCGGCCCAGACUCCUACGGGAGCAGCAGUGGGGAAUAUUGCACAAUUGGGGGAAACCCUGAUGCAGCGACGCAGCGUGCGGAUGACGGCCUUUCGGGUUGUAAACCGCUUUCAGUAGGGAAGAAGCCUUUGUGGUGACGGUACCUGCAGAAGAAGUACCGGCUAACUACGUGCCAGCAGCCGCGGUAAUACGUAGGGUACGAGCGUUGUCCGGAAUUAUUGGGCGUAAAGAGCUCGUAGGUGGUUGGUCACGUCUGCUGUGGAAACGCAACGCUUAACGUUGCGCGGGCAGUGGGUACGGGCUGACUAGAGUGCAGUAGGGGAGUCUGGAAUUCCUGGUGUAGCGGUGAAAUGCGCAGAUAUCAGGAGGAACACCGGUGGCGAAGGCGGGACUCUGGGCUGUAACUGACACUGAGGAGCGAAAGCAUGGGGAGCGAACAGGAUUAGAUACCCUGGUAGUCCAUGCCGUAAACGUUGGGCACUAGGUGUGGGGGGCAUUCCACGUUCUCCGCGCCGUAGCUAACGCAUUAAGUGCCCCGCCUGGGGAGUACGGUCGCAAGGCUAAAACUCAAAGGAAUUGACGGGGGCCCGCACAAGCGGCGGAGCAUGCGGAUUAAUUCGAUGCAACGCGAAGAACCUUACCAAGGCUUGACAUACACUGGACCGUUCUGGAAACAGUUCUUCUCUUUGGAGCUGGUGUACAGGUGGUGCAUGGUUGUCGUCAGCUCGUGUCGUGAGAUGUUGGGUUAAGUCCCGCAACGAGCGCAACCCUCGUUCUAUGUUGCCAGCACGUGAUGGUGGUAACUCAUAGGAGACUGCCGGGGUCAACUCGGAGGAAGGUGGGGAUGACGUCAAAUCAUCAUGCCCUUUAUGUCUUGGGCUUCACGCAUGCUACAAUGGCUGGUACAGAGAGAGGCGAACCCGUGAGGGUGAGCGAAUCCCUUAAAGCCAGUCUCAGUUCGGAUCGUAGUCUGCAAUUCGACUACGUGAAGUCGGAGUCGCUAGUAAUCGCAGAUCAGCACU